Molecule: non-coding RNA, 268 nt
Filed under: Chlorobaculum tepidum
Lineage: Bacteria; Pseudomonadati; Chlorobiota; Chlorobiia; Chlorobiales; Chlorobiaceae
Also listed under: 1 other name
Source: RNAcentral
GAGUUCUUUCAGCAUUACGGUGCCGGAUGAAAGAUGCCGGAUAAUAGGGAAGUGCGUGUGAAUCGCACACUGUGCCCGCAACUGUAAGAUGGUAUGUCGCGCGACGACAGGAGCAGCUCUGCUUUUGUGGCCGUUGCGGAUCGGGUGUAUCCACUCCGCCAACCUCUGAUAACCACGGGGAAUGCGGGGGAAGGCUGCCCGGAGGAAAACGUCGAAGUAAUUUCGCAGCCAUCGAAGUCAGGAGACCUGCCGUAGUGGUUGGCGCCGA